UACGAAGGGUGCAAGCGUUACUCGGAAUUACUGGGCGUAAAGCGUGCGUAGGCGGUUUGUUAAGUCUGCUGUGAAAGCCCCGGGCUCAACCUGGGAACGGCAGUGGAUACUGGCAAGCUAGAGUGUGUCAGAGGAUGGUGGAAUUCCCGGUGUAGCGGUGAAAUGCGUAGAGAUGUGGAGGAAUCCCGAUGGCGAAGGCAGCCCCCUGGGAUAACACUGACGCUCAUGUACGAAAGCGUGGGUAGCAAACAGG
RNAcentral lists this ribosomal RNA (253 nucleotides) under uncultured bacterium. RNAcentral describes it as "partial 16S ribosomal RNA". It matches the Rfam family "Bacterial small subunit ribosomal RNA", at positions 524 to 776 of the family's 1533-position model. The record is from RNAcentral.